Molecule: ribosomal RNA, 884 nt
Filed under: uncultured eukaryote
Lineage: Eukaryota
Description: SSU rRNA
Rfam family: Eukaryotic small subunit ribosomal RNA
Source: RNAcentral
GCCGCGGUAAUUCCAGCUCCAAUAGCGUAUACUAAAGUUGUUGCGGUUAAAAAGCUCGUAGUUGGAUCUUGGAAUGUGUUCAAGCGGGUCAGCUUCUGGCUGUGCGCUGCUUGACGUGUUCUUCUAUUUGGUUUUGGUGCGGUGCGCUUAACUGCGUGUCGCUCCCGGCCGAAACGUUUACCUUGAAAAAAUUAGAGUGUUCAAAGCAGACCUGUUUGAGUCUGAAUAUUCGUGCAUGGAAUAAUGAAAUAUGAAUUCGGUUCUAUUUUGUUGGUUUUCGGAACUCGAGUUAAUGAUCAAGAGGGACAGACGGGGGCAUUCGUACUCUGCCGUUAGAGGUGAAAUUCUUGGAUCGGCGGAAGACGCGCAACUGCGAAAGCAUUUGCCAAGAAUGUUUUCUUUAAUCAAGAACGAUAGUCGGAGGUUCGAAGACGAUCAGAUACCGUCCUAGUUUCGACUGUAAACUAUGCCAGCUAACGAUCAGACAGAGUUCUCUACGACUUGUCUGGCAGUUUCCGGGAAACCAAAGCGUUUGGGUUCCGGGGGAAGUAUGGUUGCAAAGCUGAAACUUAAAGGAAUUGACGGAAGGGCACCACCAGGAGUGAAGCCUGCGGCUUAAUUUGACUCAACACGGGGAAACUCACCCGGCCCGGACACAGUGAGGAUUGACAGAUUGAGAGUUCUUUCUUGAUUCUGUGGGUGGUGGUGCAUGGCCGUUCUUAGUUGGUGGAGCGAUUUGUCUGGUUAAUUCCGAUAACGAACGAGACUCUGGCAUGUUAAAUAGUCGCGGAAGUGCGUAUGCACUUGCCGAAUUGACUUCUUAGAGGGACUAGUGAUUUUAAUUCACACGAGAUUGAGCAAUAACAGGUCUGUGAUGCCCAAGG